GUCCUAGCCGUAACGGUGUGCACUUGAUGUAGGAGGAAUUAUCCCUUCUGUGUCGUAGCUAACGCGAUAAGUGCACCGCCUGGGAGUACGGUCGCAAGAUUAAACUCAAAGGAAUUGACGGGCCCGCACAAGCGGUGGAGCAUGUGGCUUAAUUCGAUGCAACGCGAAGAACCUUACCUGGACUUGACAUGUAACUGCACGCUGGGCGAAAGCCCGGAAGCCUUCGAGGGUGUUACACAGGUGCUGCAUGGCUGUCGU
This 258-nucleotide ribosomal RNA is filed under the name uncultured bacterium. RNAcentral describes it as "partial 16S ribosomal RNA". It matches the Rfam family "Bacterial small subunit ribosomal RNA", at positions 793 to 1055 of the family's 1533-position model. The record is from RNAcentral.